RNAcentral lists this transfer RNA (67 nucleotides) under Stylotermes sp. Chi-131. RNAcentral's name for it is "tRNA-Met". The record is from RNAcentral. Lineage: Eukaryota; Metazoa; Arthropoda; Insecta; Blattodea; Stylotermitidae.
AGAAAAGUAAGCUAAUAAAGCUAAUGGGUUCAUACCCCAUCAAUAGAGUGUAAUACUCUCUUCUCUA